RNAcentral lists this ribosomal RNA (406 nucleotides) under uncultured bacterium. Its description in RNAcentral is "partial 16S ribosomal RNA". It matches the Rfam family "Bacterial small subunit ribosomal RNA", at positions 30 to 526 of the family's 1533-position model. The record is from RNAcentral.
AUUGAACGCUGGCGGCAGGCCUAACACAUGCAAGUCGAGCGAGGGGCGGACGGGUGAGUAAUGUAUGGGGAUCUGCCUGUUGGCGGGGGAUAACUACUGGAAACGGUAGCUAAUACCGCAUACCAUCAGAUGAACCAAUGUGGGAUUAGCUAGUGGGUAAGGUAACGGCUUACGUGGGCGACGAACCCUAGCUGGUCUGAGAGGAUGAUCAGCCACACUGGGACGGGGACACGGCCCAGACUCCUUCGGAGGGCAGCAGUGGGAAUUAUUGCACAAGGAGCGCAGACCUGAUGCAGCAAGGCCGAGUGUAUGAGAAAGGCCUUCGGGUUGUAAGGUACUUUCAGUCGGGAGGCGUUACCGACAGAAGAAGCACCGGCUAACUCCGUGCCAGCAGCCGCGGUAAUUC